Molecule: ribosomal RNA, 497 nt
Filed under: uncultured bacterium
Lineage: Bacteria
Description: partial 16S ribosomal RNA
Rfam family: Bacterial small subunit ribosomal RNA
Source: RNAcentral
GAUGAACGCUGGCGGUGUGCCUAAUACAUGCAAGUCGAGCGAACAGACGAGGAGCUUGCUCCUCUGACGUUAGCGGCGGACGGGUGAGUAACACGUGGAUAACCUACCUAUAAGACUGGGAUAACUUCGGGAAACCGGAGCUAAUACCGGAUAAUAUAUUGAACCGCAUGGUUCAAUAGUGAAAGACGGUUUUGCUGUCACUUAUAGAUGGAUCCGCGCCGCAUUAGCUAGUUGGUAAGGUAACGGCUUACCAAGGCAACGAUGCGUAGCCGACCUGAGAGGAUGAUCGGCCACACUGGAACUGAGACACGGUCCAGACUCCUACGGGAGGCAGCAGUAGGGAAUCUUCCGCAAUGGGCGAAAGCUUGACGGAGCAACGCCGCGUGAGUGAUGAAGGUCUUCGGAUCGUAAAACUCUGUUAUUAGGGAAGAACAAAUGUGUAAGUAACUAUGCACGUCUUGACGGUACCUAAUCAGAAAGCCACGGCUAACUACGUG